RNAcentral lists this ribosomal RNA (290 nucleotides) under Dyscia raunaria. RNAcentral describes it as "partial 12S ribosomal RNA". Lineage: Eukaryota; Metazoa; Arthropoda; Insecta; Lepidoptera; Geometridae. The record is from RNAcentral.
UAAAACUUAAAUAUUUUGGCGGUAUUUUAGUUUAUUUAGAGGAAUCUGUUUAUUAAUUGAUAAUCCACGAAUAAAUUUACUUAAUUUAUUAUUUUGUAUAUCAUUGUUAAAUAAAUAUUUUUUAAUAAUUAAUAAUAUUUUAAAAUUAUAAAUAAAAAUUAAAUCAAAUCAAGAUGCAGAUUAUAAUUAAGAAUAUAAUGGAUUACAAUAAUUUUAUUUAGAUGAAUUUUAAUUUGUAAUAAUUAAAUGAAGGUGGAUUUAAAUGUAAUUUUAUUUAUUUUAAUAAUUUG